GACAGAGGGUGCAAACGUUGUUCGGAAUUACUGGGCGUAAAGCGCGUGUAGGCGGCCCUGUAAGUCGGGUGUGAAAUCCCACGGCUCAACCGUGGAAGUGCAUUCGAAACUACAGGGCUAGGGUUCUGGAGAGGAAGGUGGAAUGCUUGGUGUAGAGGUGAAAUUCGUAGAUAUCAAGCGGAACACCGGUGGCGAAGGCGGCCUUCUGGACAGUAACUGACGCUGAGACGCGAAAGCGUGGGGAGCAAACAGG
RNAcentral lists this ribosomal RNA (253 nucleotides) under uncultured bacterium. RNAcentral's name for it is "partial 16S ribosomal RNA". It matches the Rfam family "Bacterial small subunit ribosomal RNA", at positions 524 to 776 of the family's 1533-position model. The record is from RNAcentral.